Molecule: ribosomal RNA, 811 nt
Filed under: Escherichia coli
Lineage: Bacteria; Pseudomonadati; Pseudomonadota; Gammaproteobacteria; Enterobacterales; Enterobacteriaceae
Description: partial 23S ribosomal RNA
Rfam family: Bacterial large subunit ribosomal RNA
Source: RNAcentral
CGGGACACGUGGUAUCCUGUCUGAAUAUGGGGGGACCAUCCUCCAAGGCUAAAUACUCCUGACUGACCGAUAGUGAACCAGUACCGUGAGGGAAAGGCGAAAAGAACCCCGGCGAGGGGAGUGAAAAAGAACCUGAAACCGUGUACGUACAAGCAGUGGGAGCCUCUUAAUGGGGUGACUGCGUACCUUUUGUAUAAUGGGUCAGCGACUUAUAUUCUGUAGCAAGGUUAACCGAAUAGGGGAGCCGAAGGGAAACCGAGUCUUAACUGGGCGUUAAGUUGCAGGGUAUAGACCCGAAACCCGGUGAUCUAGCCAUGGGCAGGUUGAAGGUUGGGUAACACUAACUGGAGGACCGAACCGACUAAUGUUGAAAAAUUAGCGGAUGACUUGUGGCUGGGGGUGAAAGGCCAAUCAAACCGGGAGAUAGCUGGUUCUCCCCGAAAGCUAUUUAGGUAGCGCCUCGUGAAUUCAUCUCCGGGGGUAGAGCACUGUUUCGGCAAGGGGGUCAUCCCGACUUACCAACCCGAUGCAAACUGCGAAUACCGGAGAAUGUUAUCACGGGAGACACACGGCGGGUGCUAACGUCCGUCGUGAAGAGGGAAACAACCCAGACCGCCAGCUAAGGUCCCAAAGUCAUGGUUAAGUGGGAAACGAUGUGGGAAGGCCCAGACAGCCAGGAUGUUGGCUUAGAAGCAGCCAUCAUUUAAAGAAAGCGUAAUAGCUCACUGGUCGAGUCGGCCUGCGCGGAAGAUGUAACGGGGCUAAACCAUGCACCGAAGCUGCGGCAGCGACGCUUAUGCGUUGUUGGGUA